This 29-nucleotide non-coding RNA is filed under the name Rattus norvegicus (Norway rat). Lineage: Eukaryota; Metazoa; Chordata; Mammalia; Rodentia; Muridae. The record is from RNAcentral.
UGGAAUGGAAUGACUCAGUGCAGAGCAAG